UACGGAGGGUGCAAGCGUUAAUCGGAAUUACUGGGCGUAAAGCGUGCGUAGGCGGUUCGUUAAGUCUGUUGUGAAAGCCCCGGGCUCAACCUGGGAAUGGCAAUGGAUACUGGCGAGCUAGAGUCGUGUCAGAGGAUGGUGGAAUUCCCGGUGUAGCGGUGAAAUGCGUACGAGAAUCGGGAGGAACAUCAGUGGCGAAGGGCGGCCCAUCUGGGACAACAC
RNAcentral lists this ribosomal RNA (222 nucleotides) under uncultured bacterium. RNAcentral describes it as "partial 16S ribosomal RNA". It matches the Rfam family "Bacterial small subunit ribosomal RNA", at positions 524 to 740 of the family's 1533-position model. The record is from RNAcentral.